GUCCUGCAGCGAUGAUAGAUAGAUACAGGUGUUGGGAGAAAGGCGGUUGUGGGGGACUGGCUGUGACCACCAUGGUAAGUCUGCCAGAAGCCCUCCUGUCACCAACCCAUCUGGCUCCAUGUAGAGAUGGAGUGUUUGACUUCUUCCUCUGGAGGUCUAAAGCCUAUGGAAUGGUCUUUAGACCCUGGAGAUUGAGCUGCUGUGAAAACAGAAAACACCCAUCUUCCAAGAAGCCAAAAGACACCGAACAUGUAGAUGCCUAAAGAAGAG
This 270-nucleotide long non-coding RNA is filed under the name Cricetulus griseus (Chinese hamster). Its description in RNAcentral is "lncRNA (ENSCGRG00000025819.1)". Lineage: Eukaryota; Metazoa; Chordata; Mammalia; Rodentia; Cricetidae. The record is from RNAcentral.